This 610-nucleotide ribosomal RNA is filed under the name uncultured archaeon. RNAcentral's name for it is "bacterial SSU rRNA". It matches the Rfam family "Archaeal small subunit ribosomal RNA", at positions 319 to 929 of the family's 1478-position model. The record is from RNAcentral.
GGCCCUACGGGGUGCAGCAGGCGCGAAAACUUUACAAUGCUGGGAACAGCGAUAAGGGAACCUCGAGUGCCAGGUUACAAAUCUGGCUGUCGUGAUGCCUAAAAAGCAUUAUAUAGCAAGGGCCGGGCAAGACCGGUGCCAGCCGCCGCGGUAACACCGGCGGCUCGAGUGGUAACCGUUAUUAUUGGGUCUAAAGGGUCUGUAGCCGGCCGGAUAAGUCUCUUGGGCAAUCUGGCAGCUCAACUGUCAGGCUUUCAGGGGAUACUGUCUGGCUCGAGGCCGGGAGAGGUGAGAGGUACUUCAGGGGUAGGGGUGAAAUCUUGUAAUCCUUGAAGGACCACCAGUGGCGAAGGCGUCUCACCAGAACGGACCUGACGGCAAGGGACGAAAGCUAGGGGCACGAACCGGAUUAGAUACCCGGGUAGUCCUAGCCGUAAACGAUACUCGCUAGGUGUCGGCCACGGUGCGACCGUUGUCGGUGCCGUAGGGAAGCCGUGAAGCGAGCCACCUGGGAAGUACGGCCGCAAGGCUGAAACUUAAAGGAAUUGGCGGGGGAGCACCACAACGGGUGGAGCUUGCGGUUUAAUUGGAUUCAACGCCGGAAAUCUUA